UGGAUAUGGCAUUUUAUAUGGUUUUAAGCAUAUUUAGUAUGUCAGGAUCGCAAGAUAGCAGCAUAAAAUAUUCGCUUAAAUCAGUAUAAAAUCUAUAUC
RNAcentral lists this non-coding RNA (99 nucleotides) under Halamphora coffeiformis. Lineage: Eukaryota; Bacillariophyta; Bacillariophyceae; Naviculales; Amphipleuraceae. The record is from RNAcentral.